GUGGGGAAUAUUGGACAAUGGGCGAAAGCCUGAUCCAGCCAUGCCGCGUGUGUGAAGAAGGUCUUCGGAUUGUAAAGCACUUUAAGUUGGGAGGAAGGGCAGUAAGUUAAUACCUUGCUGUUUUGACGUUACCGACAGAAUAAGCACCGGCUAACUUCGUGCCAGCAGCCGCGGUAAUACGAAGGGUGCAAGCGUUAAUCGGAAUUACUGGGCGUAAAGCGCGCGUAAGUGGUUUUGUAAGUUGGAGGUGAAAUCCCCGGGCUCAACCUGGGAACUGCCUCCAAAACUGCAUGACUAGAGUACGGUAGAGGGUAGUGGAAUUUCCUGUGUAGCGGUGAAAUGCGUAGAUAUAGGAAGGAACACCAGUGGCGAAGGCGACUACCUGGACUGAUACUGACACUGAGGUGCGAAAGCGUGGGGAGCAAACAGGAUUAGAUACCCCGGUAGUCC
RNAcentral lists this ribosomal RNA (450 nucleotides) under uncultured bacterium. RNAcentral describes it as "partial 16S ribosomal RNA". It matches the Rfam family "Bacterial small subunit ribosomal RNA", at positions 354 to 796 of the family's 1533-position model. The record is from RNAcentral.